AUGGCGAUGCGGGGCGUCGAUUUCAAGUGGUACGACGGCUUCUUCCUCUCCAUGCUCGCCACCAGCGUAAUCAUCGUGUCCAUCAACUGGAGGAGGUACCGCCUCUGCGCCCACCCGCUCCACAUAUGGAUCGUCGUCGACUACACCACCGUCUUCGUCUUCCGCCUCCUCAUGUUCCUCGACAACGGACUCGCCGCAGGGAUGGGGCUGGAUCUUGGAUGGCAACAGAGAUAUACUCGUUUCUGCGGGAGGAUAGUUGUUCUGUCAGUCCUUGUUCUUCUUCUGUACCCCUUCCUGUGGGUUUGGACUGUGAUAGGAACAUUGUGGUUUAACAGUGCAAGGAGCUGUUUGCCGGAGGAAGGACAAAAAUGGGGCUUCCUGAUAUGGCUGCUUUUCAGCUACUGUGGGCUCGCCUGUAUUGCAUGCGUGGCUGUUGGAAAGUGGCUAAACCGAAGGCAUGCACUCCAACUGAGGGCUCAACAGGGAAUUCCAGUCUCUGAAUAUGGGGUUUUGGUUGACAUGAUCCGUGUGCCUGACUGGGCAUUUGAGGCGGUCGGCUUGGAACUGAGAGGAAUGGGCCAGGACACGGCAUACCAUCCUGGCCUUUAUCUCACAGCAGCCCAGAGAGAAGCUGUGGAGGCUCUGAUCCAGGAGCUCCCCAAGUUCAUGCUGAAGGCGGUGCCGACGGACUGCAGCGAGUGCCCGAUCUGCCUGGAGGAGUUCAAGGUGGGCAACGAGGUGCGUGGCCUCCCGUGCGCGCACAACUUCCACGUGGAGUGCAUCGACCAGUGGCUGCGGCUGAACGUCAAGUGCCCGCGCUGCCGCUGCUCCGUGUUCCCCAACCUGGACCUGAGCGCGCUCAACGGCAUCCGCUCCAGCAGCGAGAUGCUGCAGCAGGACCGCCCCUCGGGCAGCAGCGAGGUGGCAGCGACGGCCAGCCGGUACGUGGGGCCGCAGCCAGCGCCGGGGCAGAGCUACCUGGUGCGGCUGCAGGGCCUGCUGCUCCGGCCCGUGGUGGGGCAUCACGACGGCGGUGAUGACGCUGAGGGCGGGCGAGCGGUGGCGGCUGAUGGGGCUGAGGUGGCGGGCGGCGUGGUGGUGGUGGUUGAUGAUGGGCAUGAGCUGCGGGAUCGCUGA
This 1137-nucleotide ribosomal RNA is filed under the name Triticum aestivum (bread wheat). Its description in RNAcentral is "partial small subunit ribosomal RNA". The record is from RNAcentral. Lineage: Eukaryota; Viridiplantae; Streptophyta; Magnoliopsida; Poales; Poaceae.